This 497-nucleotide ribosomal RNA is filed under the name uncultured bacterium. RNAcentral's name for it is "partial 16S ribosomal RNA". It matches the Rfam family "Bacterial small subunit ribosomal RNA", at positions 28 to 507 of the family's 1533-position model. The record is from RNAcentral.
GAUGAACGCUGGCGGCGUGCCUAAUACAUGCAAGUCGAGCGAACGUACGAGAAGCUUGCUUUUCUGAUGUUAGCGGCGGACGGGUGAGUAACACGUGGAUAACCUACCUAUAAGACUGGGAUAACUUCGGGAAACCGGAGCUAAUACCGGAUAAUAUUUUGAACCGCAUGGUUCAAAAGUGAAAGACGGUCUUGCUGUCACUUAUAGAUGGAUCCGCGCUGCAUUAGCUAGUUGGUAAGGUAACGGCUUACCAAGGCAACGAUGCAUAGCCGACCUGAGAGGGUGAUCGGCCACACUGGAACUGAGACACGGUCCAGACUCCUACGGGAGGCAGCAGUAGGGAAUCUUCCGCAAUGGGCGAAAGCCUGACGGUGCAACGCCGCGUGAGUGAUGAAGGUCUUCGGAUCGUAAAACUCUGUUAUUAGGGAAGAACAUAUGUGUAAGUAACUGUGCACAUCUUGACGGUACCUAAUCAGAAAGCCACGGCUAACUACGUG